AGCUACCAUGGCCUUAUGACUCUCAAGUGGUGCAGCGGUCAAAGGCACAGCACAUCAGUACUAGAGGUGUCACUACAGACUCCCUGGUUCAAAUCCAGGCUGCGUUUCCAUCAAAAAACAUUAUUUGCCAAUAUCAUAACUGAAGCUGGACAUCUUUGGAGCAUAAGAAUGAGGACAGCUUUUGUAUGCUAACGUACACUCCUUAACAGUUGUACUGGAUGAAAACACAGCAAGAAAACGCAUGCCAAUAUGUAAUAUUCAUCUAUUUUAUUGCAGUACUGGUAGUUAUUUCAACAACUUGUUUUACUAGAGGACAAAAAACUGAAUAUGCGUAACCCAUAUUUAAUAUCCAUGCAGUGACUGAACAACAACUGCAUUUCCACCCCCAUCUCUAAGGCAUAGUAUCAUGGCUGGUCACCUGUCAAGUCACAUGUCAGGCAGACUUUGCAAUGCCUCCGUGUGCGACUACCUUGAGAAGCAGUUUGAGGGACUUUGCAGGGAAAAUGUCGUGCAGUGAG
Oncorhynchus nerka (sockeye salmon) is the source of this 518-nucleotide long non-coding RNA. RefSeq lists it as uncharacterized. The record is from RefSeq and is a predicted model, not a curated record. The transcript has 3 exons. Lineage: Eukaryota; Metazoa; Chordata; Actinopteri; Salmoniformes; Salmonidae.